GACCACGAACACUCUUCCGCUACGGCUCCCUGAAGGGGCCAUCCCGGGCCUUUCGCGCUUCUGCCCUGGCUCUCUGCGGGCCGCUCCGCCGGUGCUGUCCCUGGGCGCCUCCGUGCUCUCAGCCAACCGCCUCGGAGAGCGCCUACUCGAGCGCCCCGGGAGCCAGAGGGCGGCGGUCCUCGCCGGGACCCUCCUGUGGGCCCAGGGGAAAUAAUGAAGAUGUUUCAUUUUCAAGACCAGCGGAUCUUGACCUUAUUCAGUCAACUCCCUUUAAAUCCCUGGCACUGAAAACACCACCUCGUGUACUUACGCUGAGUGAAAGACCACUAGAUUUUCUGGAUUUAGAAAGACCUCCUACAACCCCUCAAAAUGAAGAAAUCCGAGCAGUUGGCAGAGUAAAAAGAGAGCGGUCUAUGAGUGAAAAUGCUGUUCGCCAAAAUGGACAGCUGGUCAGAAAUGAUUCUCUGUAUGGCAUUUCAAAUAUAGAUACAACCACUGAAGGAACGUCAGAUGACCUGACUGUUGUAGAUGCAGCUUCACUAAGACGACAGAUAAUCAAACUAAAUAGACGUCUACAACUUCUGGAAGAGGAGAACAAAGAACGUGCUAAAAGAGAAAUGGUCAUGUAUUCAAUUACUGUAGCUUUCUGGCUGCUUAAUAGCUGGCUCUGGUUUCGCCGCUAGAGGUAACAUCAGCCCUCAAAAAUAUUGUCUCAACAGCUGGAAAUAUAAAAGAUUUGCAAACUUCUUUGUUUCUGUCUCUGCAUUGUAUGCCAUUUUAUAGUCCACACCCUGAAAAUGUAUUUCUUCUAGAAAGUCUG
Molecule: small RNA, 820 nt
Filed under: Pongo abelii (Sumatran orangutan)
Lineage: Eukaryota; Metazoa; Chordata; Mammalia; Primates; Hominidae
Description: processed transcript
Source: RNAcentral